RNAcentral lists this ribosomal RNA (216 nucleotides) under Glomeromycotina sp. Its description in RNAcentral is "partial small subunit ribosomal RNA". The stretch from base 75 to 216 matches the Rfam family "Eukaryotic small subunit ribosomal RNA", at positions 721 to 864 of the family's 1831-position model. The record is from RNAcentral. Lineage: Eukaryota; Fungi; Glomeromycota.
GGGUCAGUAGGUUGGUCGUGCCACCGGUACGUACUGGUCUCACUGAUUCCUCCUUCCCGAAGAACCGUAAUGCCAUUAAUUUGGUGUUGCGGGGAAACAGGACUGUUACUUUGAGAAAAUUAGAGUGUUUAAAGCAAGCUAACGCUUGAAUACAUUAGCAUGGAAUAAUGAAAUAGGACGAUCGAUCCUAUUUUGUUGGUUUCUAGGAUUGACGUA